RNAcentral lists this ribosomal RNA (463 nucleotides) under uncultured bacterium. RNAcentral describes it as "SSU rRNA". It matches the Rfam family "Bacterial small subunit ribosomal RNA", at positions 26 to 518 of the family's 1533-position model. The record is from RNAcentral.
AGAAUCAACGCUGGCGGCGUGCCUAACACAUGCAAGUCGAACGAGAAAGUGGUAGCAAUACCAUGAGUACAGUGGCGCACGGGUGAGUAACACGUGACUAACCUACCCUGGAGUGGGGGAUAAACUGAGGGAAACCUUAGCUAAUACCGCAUAAUACCUACGGGUCAAAGGAGCAAUUCGCUUCAGGAGGGGGUCGCGGCCGAUUAGUUAGUUGGCGGGGUAAUGGCCCACCAAGACAGUGAUCGGUAUCCGGCCUGAGAGGGCGCACGGACACACUGGAACUGAAACACGGUCCAGACUCCUACGGGAGGCAGCAGUGGGGAAUUUUGCGCAAUGGGGGAAACCCUGACGCAGCAACGCCGCGUGGAGGAUGAAGUCCUUCGGGACGUAAACUCCUUUCGAUCGGGACGAUAAUGACGGUACCGGAAGAAGAAGCCCCGGCUAACUUCGCGCCAGCAGCCGC